ACAACAUACGUACCGUCGGUCUAUCGAGAAAUAUCACCCGCUCGGAGAAAGAUCUUCCCUUUAACGU
Molecule: microRNA precursor, 67 nt
Filed under: Bombyx mori (domestic silkworm)
Lineage: Eukaryota; Metazoa; Arthropoda; Insecta; Lepidoptera; Bombycidae
Description: mir-2774 microRNA precursor family
Rfam family: mir-2774 microRNA precursor family
Source: Rfam by way of RNAcentral